RNAcentral lists this ribosomal RNA (693 nucleotides) under uncultured bacterium. RNAcentral describes it as "bacterial SSU rRNA". It matches the Rfam family "Bacterial small subunit ribosomal RNA", at positions 32 to 715 of the family's 1533-position model. The record is from RNAcentral.
AACGCUAGCUACAGGCUUAACACAUGCAAGUCGAGGGGCAGCAUGAACUUAGCUUGCUAAGUUUGAUGGCGACCGGCGCACGGGUGAGUAACGCGUAUCCAGCCUUCCGUUUACUCGGGUAUAGCCUUUCGAAAGAAAGAUUAAUCCCCGAUGGUAUGGUAAGAUUGCAUGAAAUUACCAUUAAAGAUUAAUCGGUAAACGAUGGGGAUGCGUUCCAUUAGGUAGUAGGCGGGGUAACGGCCCACCUAGUCGACGAUGGAUAGGGGUUCUGAGAGGAAGGUCCCCCACAUCGGAACUGAGACACGGUCCAAACUCCUACGGGAGGCAGCAGUGAGGAAUAUUGGUCAAUGGACGAGAGUCUGAACCAGCCAAGUAGCGUGAAGGAUGACUGCCCUAUGGGUUGUAAACUUCUUUUAUAUGGGAAUAAAAAAGGCCACGUGUGGCCUAUUGUAUGUACCUUAUGAAUAAGCAUCGGCUAAUUCCGUGCCAGCAGCCGCGGUAAUACGGAAGAUGCGAGCGUUAUCCGGAUUUAUUGGGUUCAAAGGGAGCGUAGGCGGACGAUUAAGUCAGCGGUAAAAUCGUGUGGCUCAACCAUACCUUGCCGUUGAUACUGGUUGUCUUGAGUGCACACAAGGAAGAUGGAAUUCGUGGUGUAGCGGUGAAAUGCUUAGAUAUCACGAAGAACUCCGAUUG